Long non-coding RNA from Carassius auratus (goldfish), 1887 nucleotides. RefSeq lists it as uncharacterized. The record is from RefSeq and is a predicted model, not a curated record. NCBI's taxonomy places the organism in Eukaryota, Metazoa, Chordata, Actinopteri, Cypriniformes, Cyprinidae. The transcript is spliced from 2 exons.
UUGAAGUUGUCCAAAUCACACAGAACCACGCGAUAUCUCAAAACGAUAAGUUAUUGAUAAUAUGGCGGCUUUAAUUAGGGCACAGAGUAGAAUAUUGAUUACGUUUUAAGGGAGGCAGGGGUUUUAGGCAGGAUUUGAUUCAUGAUGUGUGUGUAGAUAUUAAUGUUAGGGGACAAUAUGAGAGAUGUGUACGUUUUAGUAGAAGCACGUAUUAUCUGAUCCACAAUCCGGAACAGAAGAGGGCAGUAAUGCACCAAUAAAACUGGAUGCCAACCGCAUUUAAACUGGAAAGAAGACGAAUAUGAUAGCUUGCUGUGAGAGACAAAGGUGAGAAUAUUUUUCCCCCGAAAUAAUUAUUUAAAUUGAAGUGUAUAAGUCAUUUUCAUACAGUGGUAUUGUUUUUGGAGUUAAUCAUUUUUUUAAAACUAAGGCGUAAAGUAAGCAACAUAUAAGCAAAAGGUCUAAAGACCUUAUCCCCAGGUUUCACCUACAUAAUAUAGCAUAUUUGUGAUUUUGCUGUAAAAAAUUUUUUUAUAAUGCAUAACUAACAGUGAAGCUCCAUUAAGUACAUGACUCAAUAGUGGAUUUACAUAAACCACAUAUACUUCUUGAAGACUAUUACUUCUUGUGACCGACAAACUGCGCGCCAGUGGCAUGCUGGGUAACAUAAUUUCAAUCAAUCGAUCAAUUUUUUUUUUAGAUUAAUACAGUAAUGUCAUUUGUACUGAACUCCUGACAUUUAAAGUAAUAUGCAGCUUAUAUCCAUCAUAUAAAUGUGAACUUUAUAUGAUGUGCAGAAAGCUGUCGACAUCAGUAUUUGACCUUCAAGCAAGCACCACACACACACACACACACACACACUUCCUUAUUCUCAACUGACACAAAAUCAUAUCAACAGCAAUUCAUUAUAAUGACUCAUCUUCUAACAUGGCUCACUGGCUCUUCCUCUCUCAGAUUUGCACACACAAAUACAUUUGAAAAAGCCUUUUUAGUACUAGGAGCAAGUGGAUGUUCAAAUCAUAUCAUAUGUUGAGAUGUCUACAAGUACACUGUGACUGUGCCUUCCUCUCAAGUCUAGGCAUGACCUUUUAUAAAGUCUAUGAUCAUGACACAUUUACUCAUUCAGACCACUACUUACACACCCUCCACUUCCAACAUACAUUGAGCAACAUGAGGCCAGUUUUACAAGAAAGACAGAAAGUGAUUGAGAGAUGGCGUUCAUAGUCCCUGUCAACCGAUAAAGGCUUCAUGAAUGACAUAACGGUACUUUGAGGUACUUUCAAGACUAUUACUAAAUAUCUAUUUAUCAUCUGACAGGAUAAUGUUUGAUAAGUAUUGUAGAUGAGCACAUCUAAUAGACAUGAAACCGGUGUCUGAGUGAUAUGUGUUUGUGAUAUUGUGUAGAAUUCACUUUUGUCAACAAUGCUAUAGAUGAGUGUAAGUCAUGUAAACAAACAAAUCUAUGUAAAGUAACUAAACAUAAGUUAUCUAUUUUAUUUGUCCAUUUGCAAUAUUGCAUAUAAUUUAAGGAACAUUUGUGUUGGAUAAAAAGCGAGUUACAUCAGUUAUUAUCUCAACAUGUAAAUGCAGUAUAUCACAGAUAUAUGACAGAGGAGACUGACUCUUGUCUGGAUGUUACAGGGACAAAUGAGACACGUGUGUUUAUCUGCUGCAGAGACACUGAUGAAGGAAUGCUGCCAUCAAAGGAUUUGUGAUAUGAAAAUGUCUGUGUGUGCACUGAGGAUGGAGAAGACCACAGCAUCAUCCUGGAAAUGAUCAAGAGUCACAGAUUAGACGCUCCAUCACUCCACCUGCCCUUUACUGUCUCAUCAGGAGCAGAUGCUGCUGUGGUGUCUUCAUCCUCAGUUCGAAUACCAGGGAACACAU